GAUGAACGCUGGCGGCGUGCCUAAUACAUGCAAGUCGAGCGAACAGACGCGGAGCUUGCUCCUUUGACGUUAGCGGCGGACGGGUGAGUAACACGUGGAUAAUCUACCUAUAAGUCUGGGAUAACUUCGGGAAACCGGAGCUAAUACCGGAUAAUAUAUUGAACCGCAUGGUUCAAUAGUGAAAGACGGUUUUGCUGUCACUUCUCGAUGGAUCUGCGCCGCUUUAGCUAGUUGGUAAGGUAACGGCCUAUCACGGCAACGAUGCGUAGCCGAACUGACAGGGGGGUCGGCCGCACUGGAACGGAGACGCGGUCCAGACUCCUACGGGAGGCAGCAGUAGGGUAUCGUCCGCAGUGGGCGGAAGCCUGGCGGAGCAGCGCGGCGUGAGUGAUGAAGGUCUUCCGUGCGUAAUGCUCUGUUAUUAGGGAAGAACAGAUGUGUACGGAGCUGUGCACGGCUUGACGGUACCUAGUCAAAAAGCCACGGCUAACUACGUG
This 497-nucleotide ribosomal RNA is filed under the name uncultured bacterium. Its description in RNAcentral is "partial 16S ribosomal RNA". It matches the Rfam family "Bacterial small subunit ribosomal RNA", at positions 28 to 507 of the family's 1533-position model. The record is from RNAcentral.